AUACGGAGGAUCCGAGCGUUAUCCGGAUUUAUUGGGUUUAAAGGGUGCGCAGGCGGGAGAUUAAGUCGGCGGUGAAAUUUUGCAGCUCAACUGUAAAAGUGCCUUCGAAACUGGGUUCCUUGAGUGUAGAUGAAGUAGGCGGAAUUUGUGGUGUAGCGGUGAAAUGCAUAGAUAUCACGAGGAACUCCGAUUGCGCAGGCAGCUUAUUAAACUACUACUGACGCUCAGGCACGAAGGCGUGGGGAUCAAACAGGAUUAGAUACCCUGGUAGUCCACGCAGUAAACGAUGAUUACUAGCUGUUUGCGAUACAAUGUAAGCGGCUGAGCGAAAGCGUUAAGUAAUCCACCUGGGGAGUACGUUCGCAAGAAUGAAACUCAAAUGAAUUGACGGGG
This 393-nucleotide ribosomal RNA is filed under the name uncultured bacterium. RNAcentral describes it as "partial 16S ribosomal RNA". It matches the Rfam family "Bacterial small subunit ribosomal RNA", at positions 523 to 918 of the family's 1533-position model. The record is from RNAcentral.